This 372-nucleotide ribosomal RNA is filed under the name uncultured bacterium. Its description in RNAcentral is "bacterial SSU rRNA". It matches the Rfam family "Bacterial small subunit ribosomal RNA", at positions 149 to 507 of the family's 1533-position model. The record is from RNAcentral.
UCCGGAAACCGGGGCUAAUACCGAAUAAUCCAUUUUGCUUCAUGGCGAGAUGUUGAAAGACGGUUUCGGCUGUCACUACAAGAUGGGCCCGCGGCGCAUUAGCUAGUUGGUAGGGUAAUGGCCUACCAAGGCGACGAUGCGUAGCCGACCUGAGAGGGUGAUCGGCCACACUGGGACUGAGACACGGCCCAGACUCCUACGGGAGGCAGCAGUAGGGAAUCUUCCACAAUGGACGAAAGUCUGAUGGAGCAACGCCGCGUGAGUGAAGAAGGUUUUCGGAUCGUAAAACUCUGUUGUAAGGGAAGAACACGUACGAGAGUAACUGCUCGUACCUUGACGGUACCUUAUUAGAAAGCCACGGCUAACUACAUG